This 74-nucleotide transfer RNA is filed under the name Crossiella cryophila. It matches the Rfam family "tRNA". Rfam says of the family: Transfer RNA (tRNA) molecules are approximately 80 nucleotides in length. Their secondary structure includes four short double-helical elements and three loops (D, anti-codon, and T loops). Further hydrogen bonds mediate the characteristic L-shaped molecular structure. tRNAs have two regions of fundamental functional importance: the anti-codon, which is responsible for specific mRNA codon recognition, and the 3' end, to which the tRNAs corresponding amino acid is attached (by aminoacyl-tRNA synthetases). tRNAs cope with the degeneracy of the genetic code in two manners: having more than one tRNA (with a specific anti-codon) for a particular amino acid; and 'wobble' base-pairing, i.e. permitting non-standard base-pairing at the 3rd anti-codon position. Lineage: Bacteria; Bacillati; Actinomycetota; Actinomycetes; Pseudonocardiales; Pseudonocardiaceae. The record is from Rfam by way of RNAcentral. RNAcentral also lists the same sequence under 7 other names.
CUCGCUGUAGCUCAGUGGUAGAGCGCUCGGCUCUCAGGACCGAGUAGUCACCGGUUCGAGCCCGGUCAGCGAGG